Molecule: long non-coding RNA, 699 nt
Filed under: Pongo abelii (Sumatran orangutan)
Lineage: Eukaryota; Metazoa; Chordata; Mammalia; Primates; Hominidae
Description: lincRNA
Source: RNAcentral
AGCUUCAUUCAUGAUUCAGAGAUAGAGGGGAGGGGGCUUAGGUGGAUAUCAUUCCAUCCAUACCCAUUAGACAGCAGGGAGGAGGGAAGGGAUGUGCCUGUCUGGUGUGUAGCAGAGUGUGUUGUGCACAGUGGAGCUGGGGCUAGCUUUGGGAGAAGUGUCCCAAGUAGCAGGAAUGUGAGCAGGUGAGGCUUCCAGCCCACAGGAGCCUGCAGAGAGUGUGCAAGACUGAAUUGGAAGGAUGCCCACAGUGUGGUUUUCUGUGCCUCUGUUGCCUUCUCAAGUCUCCUGAGUGACAUUCUGGGCUUAGGACUUGGAGCUGUGUGGGUCAUCUAUCCAGGAGAGAGGCCAUGGUUGAGACCUGGUAAGGCAGCUUCACAAAGUCAUUGAGGAUGCAGGCUUCUGUAUUGCUGUUUCACCAUCCUGAGUUUUGGCUUUCACCCUCAUGGAUACUUCAUGGUCUCUAGUGAGUGCUGAAACUGUGGACCCUGGACACACUCUGAAGGGAGCAGAAGGAGCUGGUCUGCCCUACUUUAACAAGUCUUCUCAGCGUCUCAUUCAGCAUUUCUGAUUCCAUCCCAACUGCCACAUGGGAGCCACAUGGUCACACCUAGCUGCAAGAGAAGCCAGGAAAUAUAGCUUAUCUGUUACACAUAUUGUCCAGGUUUUUGUCCCUGAGGAAGAAGGCGAGGAUGGAUU